GGGUGGACUCAGGGGUAAGGAUGAGACUGCUGCUACUAAGGAUGAGACUAGACUCUGAAUAGUGGAACCAGUUAGAACCGCACAGAAAAGGGUGAAGCUAGGCUUGUCUUAUAUAUUUUGCAAACAUUAAAGAGAAAUAAUAUUAGGUUAAAAACCUCUUCAGGUCAGAUUUAUAGUUCUUAUCAUAAUUUUCUGAGGUAAGGUACACUAAAUUAAAUUGUACUCAAGGGACUUGCAUUUCCAUGUUAUUUGGAGAAUAUCAAAACUCUUUGUCUCUUUUUCCUUCAGGCCUGUUUGAAAUAAUUGUCUUUAACAGAGUCAUUUAAA
This 327-nucleotide long non-coding RNA is filed under the name Bos taurus (domestic cattle). Its description in RNAcentral is "long non-coding RNA NONBTAT023090". Lineage: Eukaryota; Metazoa; Chordata; Mammalia; Artiodactyla; Bovidae. The record is from RNAcentral.